RNAcentral lists this long non-coding RNA (271 nucleotides) under Physcomitrium patens. Its description in RNAcentral is "long non-coding RNA (PPAT_LNC006204)". Lineage: Eukaryota; Viridiplantae; Streptophyta; Bryopsida; Funariales; Funariaceae. The record is from RNAcentral.
ACAGAGAAUUGGGAUUUUUUUUUUCUUCAUAGGAUUUUGGGAAGACUAAGGCAAUCGUUGCUGAAUAGUCGAAGUGUUGUACUGGUGAAUCGGGAUUUUAAUGAAGUGGGUGUGAUUAUUCUUGACUGUUUUGUGAAAUCGAAGUUACGCCUAUGAUUGAAGAAUUAAAAGGGUGUCUGUAGGAUUGAGUAUGCGGAGUGAAUGAAAAUUAUUGGGUUAAUCUAACAAGACAGUCAAUCGAUACAAGGUCGUGAGUAUAAAGCGGUAUCGA